GUCUCCCGUCUAAUGGGGGGUAAACGGCGGCCCUAUUCUGAGGGUCCUAAGGUAGCAUAAUAAGUUGGCGUUUAAUUGGCGUCUGGAAUGAAAGGGCACACGUAGGAGCAACUGUCUCAUGCUUAACCAUUGAAACUAACUUGCAGGUGAAAAGGCCUACAUGAGUAAGAGGGACGACAAGACCCUACGAAGCUUUUACGGUCACUUUCGUUUUGAAGUUAGCGGUAGUGAAGUUUUGUUGGGGCAACAGGGGGGAAAUGUGCCACCCGAUUUAAUCCUAGAUUUAGUAAUUGAAUUGGUGAAUUUUUUGUCUUACAUGAAAUAGCCACUAUUAAAGUGAAAACGAUUAAGUUACUCUAGGGAUAACAGCUCAAUACCCUCAUAGAGUUCCUAUCGAAGAGGGUGCUUGAGACCUCGAUGUCGGCUUAGCGUAACCUCCAGGCGGAGCGGCUUGG
Molecule: ribosomal RNA, 455 nt
Filed under: Botula fusca
Lineage: Eukaryota; Metazoa; Mollusca; Bivalvia; Mytilida; Modiolidae
Description: partial large subunit ribosomal RNA
Rfam family: Bacterial large subunit ribosomal RNA
Source: RNAcentral